ACAAGCGGUGGAGCAUGUGGUUAAUUCGAUGCAACGCGAAGAACCUUACCUGGUCUUGACCUCCACGGAAGUUUCAGAGAUGAGAAUGUGCCUUCGGGAACCGUGAGACAGGUGCUGCAUGGCUGUCGUCAGCUCGUGUUGUGAAAUGUUGGGUUAAGUCCCGCAACGAGCGCAACCCUUAUCCUUUGUUGCCAGCGGUCCGGCCGGGAACUCAAAGGAGACUGCCAGUGAUAAACUGGAGGAAGGUGGGAUGACGUCAAGUCAUCAUGGCCCUUACGACCAGGGCUACACACGUGCUACAAUGGCGCAUACAAAGAGAAGCGACCUCGCGAGAGCAAGCGGACCUCAUAAAGUGCGUCGUAGUCCGGAUUGGAGUCUGCAACUCGACUCCAUGAAGUCGGAAUCGCUAGUAAUCGUGGAUCAGAAUGCCACGGUGAAUACGUUCCCGGGCCUU
RNAcentral lists this ribosomal RNA (454 nucleotides) under uncultured Enterobacteriaceae bacterium. Its description in RNAcentral is "bacterial SSU rRNA". It matches the Rfam family "Bacterial small subunit ribosomal RNA", at positions 925 to 1382 of the family's 1533-position model. The record is from RNAcentral. Lineage: Bacteria; Pseudomonadati; Pseudomonadota; Gammaproteobacteria; Enterobacterales; Enterobacteriaceae.